Molecule: transfer RNA, 73 nt
Filed under: Bos taurus (domestic cattle)
Lineage: Eukaryota; Metazoa; Chordata; Mammalia; Artiodactyla; Bovidae
Also listed under: 5 other names
Rfam family: tRNA
About the family: Transfer RNA (tRNA) molecules are approximately 80 nucleotides in length. Their secondary structure includes four short double-helical elements and three loops (D, anti-codon, and T loops). Further hydrogen bonds mediate the characteristic L-shaped molecular structure. tRNAs have two regions of fundamental functional importance: the anti-codon, which is responsible for specific mRNA codon recognition, and the 3' end, to which the tRNAs corresponding amino acid is attached (by aminoacyl-tRNA synthetases). tRNAs cope with the degeneracy of the genetic code in two manners: having more than one tRNA (with a specific anti-codon) for a particular amino acid; and 'wobble' base-pairing, i.e. permitting non-standard base-pairing at the 3rd anti-codon position.
Source: Rfam by way of RNAcentral
UCCCUGGUGGUCUAGUGGGUAAGACUCUGCAUUCCCAGCGCAGGGGGCCUGGGUUCAAUUCCUUAUCAGGGAA